Molecule: long non-coding RNA, 742 nt
Filed under: Hordeum vulgare
Lineage: Eukaryota; Viridiplantae; Streptophyta; Magnoliopsida; Poales; Poaceae
Description: long non-coding RNA (HVUL_LNC020801)
Source: RNAcentral
UAUCAAGGUAUUUAUUAUGAAUAUAUAAGAGUGUAGGAUACAUAUACAUUACGAUACAUAAAUACUAAUUUUAUUGGAUGAACAUCAUAGCAUUUGUAUCAAUUUCACAAUAGAGAACAGAUCUAUGAUGAAUAUUACAGCAGAACAUUUGCAUCAAUUCGGCCAAAGAAAAACAUCUCCUGAAUGGUAUUACAUUUCUCAAUCUAUCAGUGUAAACUAUGGUUACUGCUAAGCUAAAUCUUCUAAUUAUAUUUGCUUCUUCAUCCAACCAAAGAAUUCAGCUGCCACUCAGUUAUGCUUCUUUCGAAUCUGUAAAUGAUAAAUGGACCUUGCAGUUAUGUGAUUAAAUGUACAUAAGUAUAAUUUUGGAAUAUGGAAGAAAAGACUCUAACUUACAAAAGAUUAAGCCAAGUAAUUAAGUAUCAUGAAGCAAAAUCAUCAUCAAUUCUCUUGCAAUCAAAAACUUACCUUACUAACUCUUCAUUAUCGACAAUAGGUUCAUCUCUGUACACAAGUGCAAAUUCAGGUGAUUUGGAUAUGUUAAAGUCUUUCAAAAUACUUGGGAUGCAACCUACCUAUAUUAUGAUCAAUAUUAUUAUUCAAUGAUAAUAAUAAAGGAAUUUGCAUGAACAAAAUUUCAAUGGAUACACAUGGUCUUAGUUCGGGAAGACUAUCAUUACCUGUUGUAUUUUCUUAGUGAUUAUUUUGAUAUACUACACUUAAAUGAUCAUACAUCUACUAN